AUGAGAAAUACACCAAGGACUCAAGAUUCACAUCCAGACAUGUCAGGGUUUCCGGAUGCCCAGGAGGCACUUUGGGUUGCCAAUACUCAAGAAAUGACACUGGUUGAAAAAAAAAUUCUUUUUAUUGGAACUCAUCUGAACAUCAGAUAUACCUGGUGUUGGUUAGCAAGAACCGUUUGUACAUUUGAUAUUGAUGGUGCCAAAACCAAAACAGUGACUGGACAUGAUAGGGACUGAUAAGGAAAGGGUAAAGGUGACGGAAUAAAUCCAUUUGACAGCAGGAGAAAGGGGAGUAGAAGAGAUGGAGAGAAGCCGGUCGAUUUCAGAAUAGCCUCUCUCCACCACGCAGAGACUGCCGGGAGAAAGGAGGGGAGGAAGGAGACAUCGGACAGCCUCCACUACUGAGUGAGGCGUGGGGUGUGCCGGGGCAGAGGGGGCCGUUAAAACACUGAAGUCUAGUCUAGUUUUUCUGUUCGA
This 477-nucleotide long non-coding RNA is filed under the name Sarcophilus harrisii (Tasmanian devil). Its description in RNAcentral is "lncRNA (ENSSHAG00000022052.1)". The record is from RNAcentral. Lineage: Eukaryota; Metazoa; Chordata; Mammalia; Dasyuromorphia; Dasyuridae.